GAUGAAGAACGCAGCGAAAUGCGAUAAGUAAUGUGAAUUGCAGAAUUCAGUGAAUCAUCGAAUCUUUGAACGCACAUUGCGCCCGCCAGCAUUCUGGCGGGCAUGCCUGUUCGAGCGUCAUUUCAACCCUCGAGCCCCCCCGGGGGCCUCGGUGUUGGGGGACGGCACACCAGCCGCCCCCGAAAUGCAGUAGCGACCCCGCCGCAGCCUCCCCUGCGUAGUAGCACACACCUCGCACCGGAGCGCGGAGGCGGUCACGCCGUAAAACGCCCAACUUUCUUAGAGUUGACCUCGGAUCAGGUAGGAAUACCCGCUGAACUUAAGCAUAUCAAUAAGCGGAGGA
Molecule: unclassified non-coding RNA, 343 nt
Filed under: soil metagenome
Description: partial contains 5.8S ribosomal RNA, internal transcribed spacer 2, and large subunit ribosomal RNA
Rfam family: 5.8S ribosomal RNA (bases 1-120)
Source: RNAcentral